Molecule: non-coding RNA, 1192 nt
Organism: Neurospora crassa OR74A
Lineage: Eukaryota; Fungi; Ascomycota; Sordariomycetes; Sordariales; Sordariaceae
Source: RefSeq, a predicted model, not a curated record
AACUUUCAAUCUGUGCCGUCAUCUCUGUGCAAGACCAACGGGCACAGCAUCGCGACUUUAGUUCGGGUCAGUAGCGUAGUAGCGGUAAAAUAUGGCACUGCUCCCUUGGAAUUAUCUGGGUAGAGGUAGCAUCCGUACCUUUGUCCUACCCAUCCCUCUGCCCUUCCCCUCCAUCUGUCUCGUCUCCCUUACGGCUACCGGAUGCCUAAUCUGCGCCGUCUUGUGUUACCAGAGCCGCAUUACCCUCAAGGCUGGGGUUCACCACUAUCACGCGGUGGCCUAGGAUGGGUUAUUUCUUGUCGGCACGCAAGUAUCCGCGCACUAAGAACCUCUAGGGAAACGACUCAGCCCGAAGGCCCAAGGCCACCCUCCAGUUCAUCACGAGACCCCGCACGAUAUGUGCUUCAAUGACGUGAUAGAGUUGUCUUCUUAUGGUAAGGUGUCGGUUAGCAGCGGAUUACCGAUAUGGGCGCGCACCUGGGGCCACGUGGAGGCGUGCUUGCUUUGGGUUAGACGCCGACCCCGAAUCUCUCCAAGUCAGGAAGAACUGAAUGUUCAUCUCAAUCGUACAUAUUGAUGAUAGGUACUGCUUCUUUCUGAUUGGGUAAUUGCGGUCUCAAACGUUUCUUCUGCUCACCCUGUUGUCAUGCGGAGUGCUUUUGGGUGCGCGCGACGUUCGCCCAGCCCGGUCAGCUGCUACGGAGUGUUUCGAGCGAAGCGACCAGGUACAGCACUAGGCACGCCAAACACAUCGACCCUUUGAUAUAGCUUCAUGGCUGGGCCGUCAGGGAUGAGGGCUCGGAUUAUCACCAAUCAAAGGACAGAGCAAGGGGGUUAACGAGCCGAGGAAGAUCAUGGUCUCACUCCAUUUUCCAAAGCUCACCAUCUCUAGGUCAUUCUCGGGGUUUUCCAGCUAGCCUGAUCAGCUAGGGCGGCCGAGAUAUCCAAUUUCUCGCCUGUAUCUCUCAACCAAAGCAACGCCAAGCGAGAAUUUCACGAUUGAUGCGCCCCACGGUCUGUAUCGGCCAGUCCAAAGUCAGACGAACUCGCGAACCUCCAUCGGAUUUUCCAUCGGAGAUUGGGGAAACGGGCGACGAGAGAGGAAAAGGCUGGUUGAAAAUGGAAAAAGACUGAUGGUAGCGAGACUAGACUAGUCGCUCGUAAGACCAUUACUGUAAUUUACACUAAUACC